This 429-nucleotide ribosomal RNA is filed under the name uncultured prokaryote. RNAcentral's name for it is "bacterial SSU rRNA". It matches the Rfam family "Bacterial small subunit ribosomal RNA", at positions 355 to 774 of the family's 1533-position model. The record is from RNAcentral.
UCGAGAGGCUUCCACAAUGGGGGAAACCCUGAUGGAGCGACGCCGCGUGGGUGAUGAAGGUCUUCGGAUCGUAAAACCCUUUCAGUAAGGAAGAAGGACCCGGGUGCCAAUACCACCAGGGUCAAGACGGUACUUACAGAAGAAGCUCCGGCUAACUCCGUGCCAGCAGCCGCGGUAAGACGGGGGGAGCAAGCGUUGUUCGGAUUUACUGGGCGUAAAGGGCGUCUAGGCGGGCUUUCAAGUCGAGCGUGAAACCCCACGGCUCAACCGUGGAUCUGCGCUCGAUACUGUUGGCCUUGAGUACGGAAGAGGAAAGCGGAAUUCCUGGUGUAGCGGUGAAAUGCGUAGAUAUCAGGAAGAACACCGGUGGCGAAGGCGGCUUUCUGGUCCGAUACUGACGCUGAAGCGCGAAAGUGCGGGGAGCAAACA